GAGAGCAGCACCGCCCCGGCUCCGCCCAGAGAGUGGAGAGGAGGGAGGGGCGGUCUGGGCGCGACGCACCACCCGGCUGGGAGCCGCGCCCCGGGCCGCGUGGAGGGGGCGGGAAAAGCCCGCACGCCCCGCCCAGUGCCCCGUGCCCCGCAACUGCUGAGCCUGCUUCGCCUGCGUGUACGCCUGAGGAAGGGUUGCUGCUGAGACGCCAGGCGUGGGUGACUUAAAGACUCGGCGGUACUGCUGUUACUACCGUAGCCACAAGAAUCUACUUACAGGCCCCCAGUCCUGGAUGAACUUCACCAUCCACCUCCCCUGUGUCGAUGCCUGAGCAACUGAGUAUUGUUACAAAAGUCAAAAAACCAAUUCACAUGGUCCUCAGUUGUAUAUUUUGUUGGAUUUCAAGGAGGAAGAGGUGAAAAGUUCUAUACUGACCUCUCACAGGUAUCUCCAAAGUGUCUCAGUGGGAGCAAGAAAAAUGGCCACAGCAAGGUUGGCUGAAGGGUUGGAGAGACUGAACACUGUCAGGCUUAAGGGCUGUCAAACAGUGUACUUGGAACAAAGUGCAAAGUGAGUGAGGAGACUUCUCUACCGAACCCUACUUAACUGGUGCCUGUAAAUACUUGGACUAAAACGGACACAUUCUAAGGCAUGAAGAAACUUUAGCUACUAUUAGUUUGUAGGUACAUAAGAGAUUCAGCUCACAGGUCAAGAAAGUGUUUCACCAUAUGAUGUCUUUUGUAUGGUAAGCUAUUUAAAGUAUAGAAUACAAGCAAUACAAUUAUAAGGAAAA
Prionailurus viverrinus (fishing cat) is the source of this 793-nucleotide long non-coding RNA. RefSeq lists it as uncharacterized. The transcript is spliced from 4 exons. The record is from RefSeq and is a predicted model, not a curated record. Lineage: Eukaryota; Metazoa; Chordata; Mammalia; Carnivora; Felidae.